Molecule: ribosomal RNA, 478 nt
Filed under: uncultured bacterium
Lineage: Bacteria
Description: bacterial SSU rRNA
Rfam family: Bacterial small subunit ribosomal RNA
Source: RNAcentral
AAUCAACGCUGGCGGCGUGCCUAACACAUGCAAGUCGAACGAGAAAGUGGAGCAAUCCAUGAGUAAAGUGGCGACCGGGUGAGUAACACGUGACCAAUCUACCCUUGAGUGGGGGAUAACCUCGGGAAACCGGGGCUAAUACCGCAUAACAUCUUCGGAUCGGAAGAACUGGAGAUCAAAGGAGCAAUUCGCUUAAGGAGGAGGUCGCGGCUGAUUAGCUAGUUGGCGGGGAAUGGCCCACCAAGGCUUAGAUCGGUAGCCGGCCUGAGAGGGCGCACGGCCACACUGGAACUGAAACACGGUCCAGACUCCUACGGGAGGCAGCAGUGGGGAAUUUUGCGCAAUGGGGGAAACCCUGACGCAGCAACGCCGCGUGGAGGAUGAAGUCCCUUGGGACGUAAACUCCUUUCGACCCGGACGAUAAUGACGGUACGGGUGAAGAAGCCCCGGCUAACUUCGUGCCAGCCGCCGCCGUAAC